CCGCGUUGUGUGCUGGGAAGCGCGCGGUAUAUAUGCGGACAUGAUUACCCUCGCAACUGCUAACAGCUGAGGGUAAUCCGGACACACGUGACUUCCCAGCCAAUGACGGAACAGGGAGGAGACAUGACAAACAUAAACAAAACACACGUGUCCCAAUGUCACUACGGUCGACAGCGGAAAAGCAGGUGCUCGCGCAUUUGCGCUUAAAGCACACUGCUUCAAGGGGGAAUCGUGACAAUAUCAUAUCAUUUUGUAUUAACACUUUAUUUAUGGCCCUAAUACUCAAAUUUUCUUUAGGAGUAGGCAUAACUACUGGGGUAUGGAAGUACUUUGCUUUCUUUUGUUUUCAGUCACACACUCUCUGCUUGGUCCAUUUUUCUUCAGAGUCCUCCAAACUGUGUUUUUUUUCACAUUGAAACCUUUCUGUAAAAUUCUGUCAGGUCAUUGUCACCACGCAUAAUCCCUGACCAGAGUGGAAAAAUUGGUAAGUAGUCUUUCAUCAGAGCAUCCAAUAUCCCUGAACAAUGAUAUUUGUUUUUGUUUGUUUCUGUUUCCUCCUCAGGAUCUUCAGUAGACAUGUACACUUGAAAACUCUUUGGUAAAUGGUGACCUAGCCAAUAUUGUGUUAGCCUCUGGAGGGAUGGAGUAUCCACUGUCUGCUUCUGGAAUUUUUAUCCAACGAAUGUGGUCAUGAAGUUCUUGAAGACACUGAUUUACACAUUCUGUCUUUGCUUUUGGGUAAAAGAUAUGGCACAUGCUCUUGAAAAUGUCUAAAGCCUUCUUCAGACUUGUGGUGUUUAUUAGCUGUGCCACACAGUGAGUGGAAAACUCUUUCAAGCCCUUGCCAAUUGCUCCUUGGACUGCUUUGAUUAUAUGUGCAGAACAAAGGUGAAGGACACUUAGUCACCUAAGGUUUGUCAUGGUGACAUUUCCUUUAACUAAAUUGUAGCUUUCCAUUAGGUAGGUAUGUAUAGCUUGUUUACUGAAUGACAACAGGGCAUUGUGGAUGAGUGCCCAUCUAUAGUCGGUCUCAACCUGGUAUAUGUUGUAGACAGUGAGUUUCCGUAUCUUUAUUAUGGUCCGAUGCAACCAAAAAGAAACAUUUGGAAUUGUGUGGUCAUUUGUUAUCAUUUCAGACACAGGUAGAGGAGGCGUGUCUUGGCCAUGUCCUGGUAGAUUGAUGCUGUAGUACAGCACUCUGUUUGGCUGAUUUGGAAUUCAACUCACAACCCCACCAGUAGCAUCCAAAUGCAGGGUAGCAGGAUGUCCCUUUCUGAGAUUUUGUACCAGAAUGACAAGUCCUGUCCCAGUGUACAGAUAAACUCCAAAUGGAUCCACCUGAAGAUCUGUACAAUAGAUCCGUAUGUAUGAUAGAUCCGUGUCUUUUAUGAUUUUCUGAGUUAACAUCAGCUCCAGCAUCACAUCAUCGUGUAGUCUGCAGCUUUUAUUAAUUUCACAAGAAAUUACUUUGAGUAUGUUUUUAUUUAAACUUCUUAUGAUGUUUCCAGCUGUCAAAUCAGGAUCUGGUGUUUUUCUGAGAUUCUUGUAGUAUACAUUACUUAGUCCUUGUGACUCUUCUUUGGCAAUCUUGCCUCUCUUCUAGUGACUGUGAGUGACCUUUGAGUGCUGGUACGGAAACACCAAUGUACAGCAGAGAUUUCGUUAACGAAUUUUUCAUAUAUUAUGUGUGUCCAUAAUUUCUGUAAUUUUCUGCUACCCAGCAAAGGGUUUAACUUUUUCCAUUUUCAUGUGGAUGUGUAAAUUGUGUAAGACUUGGGUCCUGGCCUUGUGCUCCUAUAUGGCUUCAUUUGAUGACCCCAGGUGAGAGAUUCUCUGCAGACUUCUGUGCCUCGCCGCACUUGCAAUUACUGUCUGUCAGGACCUGAGGUGAGAGAUGGUCCGCAGACAUUGGUGGCAGGCCACGCUCUCCAUCACUGUCUGUCAGGACCCCAGAUGAGAGACGGUCAGCAGACUUCUGUGGCAGCCCGCGCUCUCCAUCACUGUCUGUCAGGACCUCAGGAUAUAAUCGCCCCUGAUCAUCAGAUGUUUUUAAACUAUCG
This is a long non-coding RNA of Ictalurus punctatus (channel catfish), 2060 nucleotides long. Lineage: Eukaryota; Metazoa; Chordata; Actinopteri; Siluriformes; Ictaluridae. The record is from Ensembl.